AAAGCUUUGAGAAGCUAGAAGAAGGUUGGUUUGUGUUUCGGAGUCGAAUAUGACUUGAUGUCAUGUGUAUGAUUAAGUAUAAGAACUUAAACCGCAACCGGAUCUUAAAGGCGUAAGAAUUGUAUCCUUGUUAGAAGGCACAAAUCCAAAGACUCAUAUGGACUUUGGCUACACCAUGAAAGCUUUGAGAAGCAAGAAGAAAGUUGGUUAGUGUUUUCAAGUCGAAUAUGACUUGGUGUCAUGUGUAUGAUUGAGUAUAACAACUUAAACCGCAACUCGAUCUUAAAAGCCUAAGUAGUGUAUCCUUGUUAGAAUACACAAAGCCAAAGAAUCAUAUGGACUUUGGCUACACCAUGAAAGCUUUGAUAAGCAAAAAGAAGGUUGGUUAGUGUUUUGGAGUCGAAUAUGACUUGUUGCCAUGUGUAUGAUUGAGUAUAACAACUUAAACCACAACCUGAUCUUAAAAGCCUAAGUAGUGUUUCCUUAUUAGAAGAAACAAAGCCAAAGACUCAUAUGGACUUUGGCUACACCAUGAAAGCUUUGAAAAGUAAGAAGAAGGUUAGUUAGUGUUUUGGAGUCGAAA
Molecule: small RNA, 583 nt
Filed under: Arabidopsis thaliana (thale cress)
Lineage: Eukaryota; Viridiplantae; Streptophyta; Magnoliopsida; Brassicales; Brassicaceae
Description: ATSL267880
Source: RNAcentral